RNAcentral lists this ribosomal RNA (96 nucleotides) under Sphenodon punctatus (tuatara). Lineage: Eukaryota; Metazoa; Chordata; Lepidosauria; Sphenodontia; Sphenodontidae. The record is from RNAcentral.
CCACACCGGACUGAAUGCGCCCGAUCCCAUCUGAUCUCGGAAGCUAAACGGUCCCGGGCCCUGGUUGACCUGCCAGGGCUCAGAGAGACCAGGUCG